This 460-nucleotide ribosomal RNA is filed under the name uncultured bacterium. RNAcentral describes it as "partial 16S ribosomal RNA". It matches the Rfam family "Bacterial small subunit ribosomal RNA", at positions 338 to 795 of the family's 1533-position model. The record is from RNAcentral.
CCUACGGGUGGCAGCAGUGAGGAAUAUUGGUCAAUGGACGCGAGUCUGAACCAGCCAAGUAGCGUGAAGGAUGACUGCCCUCUGGGUUGUAAACUUCUUUUAUAUGGGAAUAAAACGUUCCACGUGUGGGAUUUUGUAUGUACCAUAUGAAUAAGGAUCGGCUAACUCCGUGCCAGCAGCCGCGGUAAUACGGAGGAUCCGAGCGUUAUCCGGUUUUAUUGGGUUUAAAGGGAGCGUAGGUGGAUUGUUAAGUCAGUUGUGAAAGGUUGCGGCUCAACCGUAAAAGUGCAGUUGAAACUGGCAGUCUUGAGUACAGUAGAGGUGGGCGGAAUUCGUGGUGUAGCGGUGAAAGGGUUAGAAAACACGAAGAACUCCGAUGGCGAAGGCAGUGCACUGGACUGCAACUGACACUGAGGCUCGAAAGUGUGGGGAUCAAACAGGAUUAGAUACCCGAGUAGUC